This is a non-coding RNA of Triticum aestivum (bread wheat), 135 nucleotides long. NCBI's taxonomy places the organism in Eukaryota, Viridiplantae, Streptophyta, Magnoliopsida, Poales, Poaceae. The record is from Rfam.
CAAAUACUCCCUCCGUCCGGAAAUUCUUGUCAUCAAAAUGGAUAAAAGGAAAUGUAUCUAGACAUAUUUUAGUUUUAAAUACAUCUCUUUUUAACCAUUUUGAUGACAAGUAUUUUCGGAAUGAGGGAGUAGAAA